GGACACCUUGCAGCCCUCCACACCUUCCCCUCCUUCUCCAUCUCCUUGUGGACUUAGGAAACCAAUCAAUAUCCAAAGAGCUGCAGUAUGUUACGCUUGAAAAUUGAAUUCCGUAUAGCCUGUAGAUGACUUCAGGAAGAAAAAGAAAAUCCUUUCUGUCUGAUCGUGAUUGUAUGUUUCAUGCAAGCCAAAUUGUAUUAAAUAUCCACAGUCCAGCAAGUUCUUUGGAUCAGAUUAAUACAAUUUCAGACAGUGUAACUGUGCACUUUACUGUUUUGAUUUCCAAGUGCCCCUUGUUCUCCUCUGAUUUCUUUCUUGCUGAUUUGCCACUAACUGCUUGAAAACUGCAGGCAUCUUUUUAAGCUCAAGAGCAGCGUGGUCUUCAGAUCAAGAAAGAUGAGCUCUCUCUUUGUUUUGGUUCAAUCACUAAAAAGUUUGCCAGGCCUUAAGGAUGACGUACCUUGACAAAGAAUGAGUUUGUUUAAAUUCUGGGGAAAAAAAGACAAUUCAGAAGAGACUGGAGCAGAACAGAGCUCUGAUGAUUUAGUUAAAACCAUUGCAUUCCUGAAUCCAAAAUACCUACUACUACGUGAUACUUUAUUAAGUAUUAUUACACGUGUAUUGACUAAUAGCAUUGAAAGAUUUUUUUUUUUAAAUAAAACAUUUACAAACAAAACUGCCACACAAAAAAAAGGUCCUUUAUUUUGGGAGAAGAAUAUAGGCACCAGUAUGCAAUGAUGACGGCAUUCAAAUAUCUGCCUGUAAGUGAUGUUUCCAAACCACACAAGAAGCCUGAAGUGGAACAGAGCCUUGAACACUUGUCCUCCAACAGGAGAUCCAUCCCUUAUCUCUAACAGAGCCUCUUUCUGCAUGCAAGGCACUGAAGUGCUGACUAUUUCCCUGUCUUUCAGACUCAUCAUGCACAAUAUUACAGGAAAUAACUUCGAAAAAGCAUAAGGCUUUCGGAAGACAUCCCUGCAGAAUAUUUAAGGACAUAAAUGAUAUUAGGCAGCUGAUGCCAUUCUGUUUCAAAUGAGGAACUUAAAAUGAGAACAAGGCAAGUCUGACAUUGUUUAUUAGUUCAUCGUGGUAACACUGCAUAAGGCGAUGAUAGUAGCAGCUCUUUGGGUUUUGGAAACUUAAAUCUGUCUGCUGUCAUUUCUAACUUAAUUAACACUGCAGACUGCUUUGGUGCUUGAAAAUGCAAACAGGGCAGUUCUUGUCCUUGCAUCUGUCUUUGCAAAGUGUACAGUGGCUGGAGGAGCAGCGGCACUGAAACAAGGGCAGGUGCUCAGGCUACAUUUCUCACUGUCUGUUCAGAGACUAAUAUAAGCAAAUUGUGGAAGGAAGUUGUUUCUUUUAGACUCUGUUGUGGUUACAGCUGAACCCAGGACAGACCUUUAGAGUUUUGAUGCAUCAUCACCUUAAUGAAGCAGUCGCACUUUUUAAGGAAAAGUUUGGGACUGACAUUCAGGAAAAGUGAGGAUACCUUCCUACUAAAGUUCUCUGCAAGGAUCUACUGCAUCUCUUCUGGCACACAGGAGGCAAAACCUGAAUAAAAGCUGUAGCACAGUUCUGGGAUCAAUGAGCUCCUGGUGCUGCAGCAGUGCUAUGCCUCGGUAGCCCUCUAGCUGGUCCGUGCUUGCAACUAGCAAUCUGGGAGAAGGAAAGGGGCACAUGGUGAGCUAAGGAAGGUCAGCAGUUUCUAGCCAUUACCAGUUUAUAAGUCAGCUGCCAGCAUGGCACCUAACAAGCCCCAGAAGCUACCCAAAGAGCAAAAGAAGCCAACAAGAUUGCAGGUUGCAUCAUCACUAGUGUUCACCAAGAAGGCACUAUUCAAGAUAGCACGCAAAGGAAAGCAACAAGUCACUGAAAUCUCUGUUUUACUUGUCCUUGCAGUUUUGGGUUGUCAAAUGUGGACAAAGAGGAACCACACAUACUGCAGUUGCAGCAGCAGCGGUUAGUAGCACUCAGCUGCUCCCAGCUAUAGCUGGCGCUGACUUGCUGUAACUCAUCACAGACUCCAUAUGAGCCCCGUGCAGCUCUGCUAGCAUCAUCCUACUCAGACAGAGGCAAAGAAAUAAAGGCUUUCCUUUCUUCAAAUGCAAGGAUCUAGUGUAACAGCCAAAAUAAGCCACCACCUCACUCCCUAGCUUCUUUCCCAUGCAUCUGUCCUCUCCCUGAGAGGCUGGACCACAAAAGGGCCAUCAAGGCUGCAGCGGAUGUAUCCUCCUGGCUUGACACAUGCACCUAUCCCGUGUAGCUGCCUCUGCCUGAUGAACCCAAGGGAGCUGAGGGGCCUGAAGUCAAAGAAAAGUGACACGUUC
Long non-coding RNA from Strigops habroptila (Kakapo), 2327 nucleotides. Lineage: Eukaryota; Metazoa; Chordata; Aves; Psittaciformes; Psittacidae. The record is from Ensembl.